This 715-nucleotide long non-coding RNA is filed under the name Mytilus galloprovincialis (Mediterranean mussel). The record is from RNAcentral. Lineage: Eukaryota; Metazoa; Mollusca; Bivalvia; Mytilida; Mytilidae.
ACCAUUUCAUUAUUUUUCAUGAAACAAAACAUUUUUUUUAUAAAAUACAUGGAGAAUAGGUCCCUUUCAAUGGAUUUUUACACUGAACUAGGCUUUUAUAAAAAAAAAAAAAAAUUGUAAAAAAACUUUUUUUCUCGAUUUUAAGGGGAUGGAAAGGGGUGCGGACUAUACAUAAAUGCAUACUAUACACGGCCGAAUACGGUAGUGUAAUCAGACAAAAAAUAACUAUUCAUUUUACAACCUAAGUCAUAUGUAUUAGUACCAUGAUUUAGAUCCUGGUUAAUAAUUUCAGCUUUGUUUUACUCAUAACCCUACAAAUUAAAACUUAUUCCCAUUUCAAAGAUUGAAGGGAUAUUUAGGAAUAAAUACUUUUGUCUCUACUACUUCUCUUGUUUUUGUGUUCAAGCAAACAACAAUCAAUUAAUCAAAGUCUGUAGACUUUUAUGGCCCACCUACGAUAGUAGAGGGGCAUUAUUAUGUUUUCUGGUCUGUGCGUUGGUCUGUUCGUCCGUCGUCUGUCCGCCGUCCGUUCGUCCAUCUGUCCCACUUCAGGUUAAAGUUUUUGGUCAAGGUAGUUUUUGAUGAAGCUAAAGUCGAAUCAACUUGAAACUUAGUACACAUGUUCCUUAUGAUAUGAUCUUUCUAAUUUUAAAGCCAAAUUAGACUUUUGAUAUUAAUUUCAUGGUCCACUGAACAUUGAAAAUGAACGUGCGAG